AAACCUUCGGGGGUAAACGGACAGAGCCCGUGAAUCCGGGCGCGCGGAAUUCAGGACCGACGCGGCGGCGCGUCGAUUCGAUAUUUCCGCCGCCGACCGUUAAUCGGUGCGGACGUCGCGACCCGUUCGUCGUCGGUCUGACGAGUCGCGCAUUCGGUUCGNACGCGCGUACGCUCUCGCGGGCGUCGAUGGCGCGGAUCUCGGGCCGUUUCGCGGACGGUAGCUGCAGCGCGGGUAUUCGACGCGGCGACGCGCGAAGUUUCGUACGCGCUCGGGCGCUCGCGUCGACGCCGGUCAGCGACGAAUCUUCGGGCCUCUUUCCGACCCGUCUUGAAACACGGACCAAGGAGUCUAACGUGCGCGCGAGUCGCGGGGUAUUCGAGCCGUUACGCGGUUCGUCACUAUACGAAACCCGUAUACGUACGUUGUGCGAAGGCGUAAUGAAAGUGAGGUGACNNNNNNCUCGCGUCACCGGGGAAGACGGUGUUCCGAGUACACAUCUCUCGGUCGCUCGUAUCCGAGACCGGACACCCGCAUUCCCAGGGCGUCCCGUUCGUCCGUCGGCGGCGCUGGAGCGCGUCGGCCGUCGACGAACUGGGGCGCACCUAUAGCGUGCACGUUGGUACCCGAAAGAUGGUGAACUAUGCCCGGCCAGGAUGAAGUCAGGGGAAACCCUGAUGGAGGUCCGCAGCGAUUCUGACGUGCAAAUCGAUCGUCUGAGCUGGGUAUAGGGGCGAAAGACUAAUCGAACCUUCUA
Molecule: ribosomal RNA, 757 nt
Filed under: Megalocryptes buteae
Lineage: Eukaryota; Metazoa; Arthropoda; Insecta; Hemiptera; Coccidae
Description: partial large subunit ribosomal RNA
Rfam family: Eukaryotic large subunit ribosomal RNA
Source: RNAcentral